RNAcentral lists this transfer RNA (72 nucleotides) under Phrynosoma platyrhinos (Desert horned lizard). RNAcentral's name for it is "tRNA-OTHER". The record is from RNAcentral. Lineage: Eukaryota; Metazoa; Chordata; Lepidosauria; Squamata; Phrynosomatidae.
GCCAAUGUGGCAUAGUGGUUUGAAUGUUGGACUACGAUUCUGGAGACCAGGGUUCGAUUCCCUCCUCGGCCA